Molecule: non-coding RNA, 99 nt
Organism: Acanthosepion pharaonis
Lineage: Eukaryota; Metazoa; Mollusca; Cephalopoda; Sepiida; Sepiidae
Source: the annotation of a GenBank genome assembly
AUUGAAACACUGGUUCCUGUAUGAUCACCAAAGUUAAGCAACAUUGAGCCUGGUCAGUACCUAGAUGGGUGACCACUUGGGAAUACUAGAUGUUGUAAG